Bos taurus (domestic cattle) is the source of this 73-nucleotide non-coding RNA. The record is from Rfam. Lineage: Eukaryota; Metazoa; Chordata; Mammalia; Artiodactyla; Bovidae.
UCCCUGGCAGUCCAGAGGUUAAGACACUGCUUUUCCAAUGCAGGGGACACAGGUCUGAUCCCUGGUCGGGGAA